GUGAGGAAUAUUGGGCAAUGGGCGAAAGCCUGACCCAGCCACGCCGCGUGAGUGAUGAAGGCCUUCGGGUUGUAAAGCUCUGUGGGGAGGGAAGAAAAAGCGGGAGAGUAACUGCUCUCGUGUUGACGGUACCUCCUUAGCAAGCACCGGCUAACUCUGUGCCAGCAGCCGCGGUAAUACAGAGGGUGCAAACGUUGCUCGGAAUUACUGUGCGUAAAGCGCGUGUAGGCUGACAUGCAAGUCGGGUGUGAAAUCCCAGGGCUCAACCUUGGAACUGCACUCGAAACUGCACGUCUUGAGUACUGGAGAGGGAAGCGGAAUGCCGGGUGUAGAGGUGAAAUUCGUAGAUAUCCGGAGGAACACCAGUGGCGAAGGCGGCUUCCUGGACAGUAACUGACGCUGAGACGCGAAAGCGUGGGGAGCAAACAGGAUUAGAAACCCGUGUAGUCC
Molecule: ribosomal RNA, 450 nt
Filed under: uncultured bacterium
Lineage: Bacteria
Description: bacterial SSU rRNA
Rfam family: Bacterial small subunit ribosomal RNA
Source: RNAcentral